Molecule: ribosomal RNA, 273 nt
Filed under: uncultured bacterium
Lineage: Bacteria
Description: partial 16S ribosomal RNA
Rfam family: Bacterial small subunit ribosomal RNA
Source: RNAcentral
UACGUAGGGGGCAAGCGUUGCCCGGAUUCACUGGGCGUAAAGCGCGUGUAGGCGGUCCGUUAAGUCGGUUGUGAAAUCUCUGGGCUCAACCCAGAAAUUGCGUCCGAUACUGGCGGACUUGAGGACGGUAGAGGUCGGUGGAAUAGCAGGUGUACCGGUGAAAUGGGCAGAUAUCUGCUAGAACACCAGUGGCGAAGGCGGCCGACUGGGCCGUUCCUGACGCUGAGACGCGAAAGCCAGGGGAGCGAACCGGAUUAGAAACCCGCGUAGUCC